GACGAACGCUGGCGGCGUGCCUAAUACAUGCAAGUAGAACGCUGAAGAAAGGAGCUUGCUUCUUUUGGAUGAGUUGCGAACGGGUGAGUAACGCGUAGGUAGCCUGCCUUGUAGCGGGGGAUAACUAUUGGAAACGAUAGCUAAUACCGCAUAACAGCUUUUGACACAUGUUAGAAGCUUGAAAGAUGCAAUUGCAUCACUACGAGAUGGACCUGCGUUGUAUUAGCUAGUUGGUAAGGUAACGGCUUACCAAGGCGACGAUCAGUAGCCGACCUGAGAGGGUGAUCGGCCACAUUGGAACUGAGACACGGUCCAAACUCCUACGGGAGGCAGCAGUGGGGAAUAUUGCACAAUGGGCGAAAGCCUGAUGCAGCGACGCCGCGUGAGCGAUGAAGGCCUUCGGGUCGUAAAGCUCUGUCCUCAAGGAAGAUAAUGACGGUACUUGAGGAGGAAGCCCCGGCUAACUACGUGCCAGCAGCCGCGGUAAUACGUAGGUGGCAAGCGUUGUCCGGAUUUACUGGGCGUAAAGGGAGCGUAGGCGGACCUUUAAGUGAGAUGUGAAAUACCCGAGCUCAACUUGGGUGCUGCAUUUCAAACUGGAGGUCUAGAGUGUCGGAGAGGUAAGCGGAAUUCCUAGUGUAGCGGUGAAAUGCGUAGAGAUUAGAAGAACCCCGGUGGCGAAAGCGGCUUACUGGACGAUAACUGACGCUGAGGCUCGAAAGCGUGGGGAGCAAACAGGACUAGAUACCCUGGUAGUACACGCUGUAACCGAUGAGUACUAGGUGUGGUGGUUGUCAUGACCUCCGUGCCGUCGCAAACGCAUUAAGUAUUCCGCCUGGGGAGUACGGUCGCAAGAUUACAACUCACAGGAAUUGACGGGGGCCCGCACAAGCAGCGGAGCAUGUGGUUUAAUUCGAAGCAACGCGAAGAACCUUACCUAGACUUGACAUCUCCUGAAUUACUCUUAAUCGAGGAAGUCCCUUCGGGGACAGGAAGACAGGUGGUGCAUGGUUGUCGUCAGCUCGUGUCGUGAGAUGUUGGGUUAAGUCCCGCAACGAGCGCAACCCUUAUUGUUAGUUGCUACCAUUAAGUUGAGCACUCUAGCAAGACUGCCGUGGUUAACGCGGAGGAAGGUGGGGAUGACGUCAAAUCAUCAUGCCCCUUAUGUCUAGGGCUACACACGUGCUACAAUGGUGAGUACAAAGAGACGCAAUACCGUGAGGUGGAGCAAAACUCAAAAACUCAUCCCAGUUCGGAUUGUAGGCUGCAACUCGCCUACAUGAAGUUGGAGUUGCUAGUAAUCGCGAAUCAGAAUGUCGCGGUGAAUACGUUCCCGGGCCUUGUACACACCGCCCGUCACACCAUGAGAGCUGGUAACACCCGAAGUCCGUGAGGUAACCGCAAGGAGCCAGCGGCCGAAGGUGGGAUUAGUGAUUGGGGUG
RNAcentral lists this ribosomal RNA (1442 nucleotides) under synthetic construct. RNAcentral describes it as "bacterial SSU rRNA". It matches the Rfam family "Bacterial small subunit ribosomal RNA". The record is from RNAcentral. RNAcentral also lists the same sequence under 1 other name.